Molecule: non-coding RNA, 395 nt
Organism: Xyrichtys novacula (pearly razorfish)
Lineage: Eukaryota; Metazoa; Chordata; Actinopteri; Labriformes; Labridae
Source: the annotation of a GenBank genome assembly
AGUAGCAGCUGACAAAGCCACCAGCUCUGAAUACUCAAAUUUUGAAUCCUCAAGGCGUGUACAUUCACCAUCCUCACCUUUCAUGGGACGACAAAGCGGUCUCAUGGAGCAACAGCCAUCUUUUCGGCCAAGACUUUGCUUUGCAUGUGCCGUCAAAUCCUAUCAGUGGACAACGCCAAUCGCAUCAUAUCAAAGGUCAACCCUAACGAAUAACAGCAUGCACUGUACAUGGACUGCAAACAACAACACAUGGAAAUCAAAUUCUUGGCCGAAAAGAUGGCUGUUGCUCCCUGAGACCGCUUUGUCGUCCCAUGAAAGGUGAGGACGGUGAAUGUACACGCCUUGAGGAUUCAAAAUUUGAGUAUUCAGAGCUGGUGGCUUUGUCAGCUGCUACA